RNAcentral lists this ribosomal RNA (495 nucleotides) under uncultured bacterium. Its description in RNAcentral is "partial 16S ribosomal RNA". It matches the Rfam family "Bacterial small subunit ribosomal RNA", at positions 28 to 505 of the family's 1533-position model. The record is from RNAcentral.
GAUGAACGCUGGCGGCGUGCCUAAUACAUGCAAGUCGAGCGAACAGACGAGGAGCUUGCUCCUCUGACGUUAGCGGCGGACGGGUGAGUAACACGUGGAUAACCUACCUAUAAGACUGGGAUAACUUCGGGAAACCGGAGCUAAUACCGGAUAAUAUAUUGAACCGCAUGGUUCAAUAGUGAAAGACGGUUUUGCUGUCACUUAUAGAUGGAUCCGCGCCGCAUUAGCUAGUUGGUAAGGUAACGGCUUACCAAGGCGACGAUGCGUAGCCGACCUGAGAGGGUGAUCGGCCACGAGGGAACUGAGACACGGUCCAGACUCCUACGGGAGGCAGCAGUAGGGAAUCUUCCGCAAUGGGCGAAAGCCUGACGGAGCAACGCCGCGUGAGUGAUGAAGGUCUUCGGAUCGUAAAACUCUGUUAUUAGGGAAAAACAAAUGUGUAAGUAACUAUGCACGUCUUGACAGUACCUAAUCAGAAAGCCACGGCUAACUACG